UUGGGUUAAGUCCCGCAACGAGCGCAACCCUCAUCUUUAGUUGCCAGCAGUUCGGCUGGGCACUCUAGAGAAACUGCCUGGGAUGACCAGGAGGAAGGCGAGGAUGACGUCAAGUCCUCAUGGCCCUUAUGGGCUGGGCUACACACGUGCUACAAUGGCGGUUACAAUGGGAUGCAAAAGGGUGACCUGGAGCUAAUCCCCAAAGGCCGUCUCAGUUCGGAUUGUUCUCUGCAACUCGAGAACAUGAAGUCGGAAUCGCUAGUAAUCGUGGAUCAGCACGCCACGGUGAAUACGUUCCCGGGCCUUGUACACACCGCCCGUCACACCAUGGGAGUUGGUUUUACCCGAAGACGAUAUCCUAACCUUUUGGAGGGAGUCGGCCACGGUAGGGUCAGCGACUGGGGUGAAGUCGUAACAAGGUAGCCGUAGGGGAACCUGCGGCUGGAUCACCUCCUUU
RNAcentral lists this ribosomal RNA (457 nucleotides) under Pirellulaceae bacterium. RNAcentral's name for it is "bacterial SSU rRNA". It matches the Rfam family "Bacterial small subunit ribosomal RNA", at positions 1075 to 1533 of the family's 1533-position model. Lineage: Bacteria; Pseudomonadati; Planctomycetota; Planctomycetia; Pirellulales; Pirellulaceae. The record is from RNAcentral.